AAGAAAGAGGGAGGGGUGCUUAACACAUGCAAGUCGAACGGAAAGGCCCUGCUUUUGUGGGGUGCUCGAGUGGCGAACGGGUGAGUAACACGUGAGUAACCUGCCCUUGACUUUGGGAUAACUUCAGGAAACUGGGGCUAAUACCGGAUAGGAGCUCCUGCUGCAUGGUGGGGGUUGGAAAGUUUCGGCGGUUGGGGAUGGACUCGCGGCUUAUCAGCUUGUUGGUGGGGUAGUGGCUUACCAAGGCUUUGACGGGUAGCCGGCCUGAGAGGGUGACCGGCCACAUUGGGACUGAGAUACGGCCCAGACUCCUACGGGAGGCAGCAGUGGGGAAUAUUGCACAAUGGGCGGAAGCCUGAUGCAGCAACGCCGCGUGCGGGAUGACGGCCUUCGGGUUGUAAACCGCUUUCGCCUGUGACGAAGCGUGAGUGACGGUAAUGGGUAAAGAAGCACCGGCUAACUACGUG
Molecule: ribosomal RNA, 467 nt
Filed under: uncultured bacterium
Lineage: Bacteria
Description: partial 16S ribosomal RNA
Rfam family: Bacterial small subunit ribosomal RNA
Source: RNAcentral